Molecule: ribosomal RNA, 452 nt
Filed under: uncultured Pseudomonas sp.
Lineage: Bacteria; Pseudomonadati; Pseudomonadota; Gammaproteobacteria; Pseudomonadales; Pseudomonadaceae
Description: bacterial SSU rRNA
Rfam family: Bacterial small subunit ribosomal RNA
Source: RNAcentral
CGGUGGAGCAUGUGGUUUAAUUCGAAGCAACGCGAAGAACCUUACCAGGCCUUGACAUGCAGAGAACUUUCCAGAGAUGGAUUGGUGCCUUCGGGAACUCUGACACAGGUGCUGCAUGGCUGUCGUCAGCUCGUGUCGUGAGAUGUUGGGUUAAGUCCCGUAACGAGCGCAACCCUUGUCCUUAGUUACCAGCACGUUAUGGUGGGCACUCUAAGGAGACUGCCGGUGACAAACCGGAGGAAGUGGGGGUGACGUCAAGUCAUCAUGGCCCUUACGGCCUGGGCUACACACGUGCUACAAUGGUCGGUACAAAGGGUUGCCAAGCCGCGAGGUGGAGCUAAUCCCAUAAAACCGAUCGUAGUCCGGAUCGCAGUCUGCAACUCGACUGCGUGAAGUCGGAAUCGCUAGUAAUCGUGAAUCAGAAUGUCACGGUGAAUACGUUCCCGGGCCUU